This 429-nucleotide ribosomal RNA is filed under the name bacterium. RNAcentral's name for it is "partial 16S ribosomal RNA". It matches the Rfam family "Bacterial small subunit ribosomal RNA", at positions 355 to 776 of the family's 1533-position model. The record is from RNAcentral.
UAGGGAAUCUUCCACAAUGGACGCAAGUCUGAUGGAGCAACGCCGCGUGAGUGAAGAAGGUUUUCGGAUCGUAAAGCUCUGUUGUUGGUGAAGAAGGAUAGAGGCAGUAACUGGUCUUUAUUUGACGGUAAUCAACCAGAAAGUCACGGCUAACUACGUGCCAGCAGCCGCGGUAAUACGUAGGUGGCAAGCGUUGUCCGGAUUUAUUGGGCGUAAAGCGAGCGCAGGCGGAAUGAUAAGUCUGAUGUGAAAGCCCACGGCUCAACCGGGGAACUGCAUCGGAAACUGUCAUUCUUGAGUGCAGAAGAGGAGAGUGGAAUUCCAUGUGUAGCGGUGGAAUGUGUAGAUAUAUGGAAGAACACCGGUGGCGAAGGCGGCUCUCUGGUCUGCAACUGACGCUGAGGCUCGAAAGCAUGGGUAGCGAACAGG